UACGAAGGGUGCAAACGUUGCUCGGAAUCAUUGGGCGUAAAGCGCACGUAGGCGGCUUCGCAAGUCGGAUGUGAAAUCCCUCGGCUCAACCGAGGACGUGCAUACGAAACUGCGAAGCUUGAGUACUGAAGAGGAUCGCGGAAUUCCCGGUGUAGAGGUGAAAUUCGUAGAUAUUCGCAAGAACACCAGUGGCGAAGGCGGCUCACUGGUCCGGUACUGACGCUGAGGUGCGAAAGCGUGGGGAGCAAACAGG
Molecule: ribosomal RNA, 253 nt
Filed under: uncultured bacterium
Lineage: Bacteria
Description: partial 16S ribosomal RNA
Rfam family: Bacterial small subunit ribosomal RNA
Source: RNAcentral